RNAcentral lists this ribosomal RNA (509 nucleotides) under uncultured bacterium. RNAcentral describes it as "partial 16S ribosomal RNA". It matches the Rfam family "Bacterial small subunit ribosomal RNA", at positions 28 to 523 of the family's 1533-position model. The record is from RNAcentral.
GACGAACGCUGGCGGUGUGCUUAACACAUGCAAGUGGUGCGACGAACCAGACUUCGGUCUGGGGCAAAGCCGCGAACGGGUGAGUAACACGUGGGUAAUCUGCCCCGAUGACUGGGACAACCCGAGGAAACUCGGGCUAAUACCGGAUGAUGUGCCUGGACAUAAGUCUGGUCACUAAAGGUAGCUUCGGCUUCCGCAUUGGGAGGGGCCCGCGGCCCAUUAGCUUGUUGGUGGGGUCAAGGCCUACCAAGGCAACGAUGGGUAGCUGGUCUGAGAGGACGAUCAGCCACACUGGGACUGAGACACGGCCCAGACUCCUACGGGAGGCAGCAGUGGGGAAUCUUGCGCAAUGCGCGAAAGCGUGACGCAGCAACACCGCGUGAGGGAAGACGGCCUUAGGGUUGUAAACCUCUUUCAGAUGGGACGAAGGUACGACGGUGAAUAGCCAAUCGGAUUGACGGUACCGUCAGAAGAAGCUCCGGCUAACUACGUGCCAGCCGCCGCGGUAA